RNAcentral lists this unclassified non-coding RNA (335 nucleotides) under uncultured Glomerales. RNAcentral describes it as "sequence contains 18S rRNA gene". RNAcentral also lists the same sequence under 1 other name. The record is from RNAcentral. Lineage: Eukaryota; Fungi; Glomeromycota; Glomeromycetes; Glomerales; Glomeraceae.
CCCAACUAUCCCUAUUAAUCAUUACAUCGAUCCUAGAAACCAACAAAAUAGAAUUGGAUGUCCUAUUUUAUUAUUCUAUGCUAAUGUAUUCAAGCGUGAGCCUGCUUUAAACACUCUAAUUUUUACAAAGUAACAGUCCUAAUUCCCCGUGACACCAAAUUAAUGGCAUUACGGUUCUUUAAAAGAUGAGAAAUUAAUAAUAUCAGUACAUACCAACGGCAUGACCAAAACAUUGAUUUCGAAAUUCAACUACGAGCUUUUUAACUGCAACAACUUUAAUAUACGCUAUUGGAGCUAGAAUUACUGUGGCUGCUAGCACCAGACUUGCCCUCCAA